RNAcentral lists this long non-coding RNA (1226 nucleotides) under Equus asinus (donkey). Its description in RNAcentral is "lncRNA (ENSEASG00005028964.1)". The record is from RNAcentral. Lineage: Eukaryota; Metazoa; Chordata; Mammalia; Perissodactyla; Equidae.
CCGGUUCCGGCGGAAGGCCAGCCUGGGUCCCGGCUGCCUCCGGUGGAGUAGCGGAUUCGUGGCCCUUGGAUGGGGUCGACCUGUGUUCUCACAAUGAAAGCAUAGAUCAAAUUACCUAUACACACCAGAAAUAUAAAGUUUCUCAACCCAGUGAGUCAUCCAACAUCCCAGGCUACAAGCUGUAGAUGACUUUAUCAUCUGCACCCUCGGAGUCUCAUCUAUCCGUCCAACAUAUACUUUAAAAAUUGGGCAGUGCCUACUAUAGGAUAAACCGUUCUAGGCGGACCUUGGGGACCCAGACGACAGAGAGCAAAUAAGCUUUGCAGAGAAUCCUGCAGAAGGUUUGACUAUGAUGCCAGAGACACAGGGCAAUAACUAGAGCGGUACCUGGUGUUGAGAGAAGGUUAGCUUUCAAAAGGGAGAAAUUGGAAGAAGCUUAAAUACUGAUGGGAAUGAGCCAGAAUAAAGGAGGAGGUAAGAAGAUAAGAGAUAAUACAAGGCCCCUGAGAAGGUGGACUGGUGUGUCCCUUACAAGGGAUACCAUCUUCACCGUCAUUGGAAGGAAUAAGGAAAGGACAGAUAAAGAAUGGAUAGAUAGUGGACAUUUCUGACAAGUGAGAGAGUUCCUUACAAAUGGUCUGUUUUCCUUUGAGUGAAGCCUGGUUACCUGCUGAAGGGUGGAAGGAAAGUGGCAGGUGUUUACAAAAGUUGCUAAAGAAAACUUGAGAGAACUGACUAAGGAAGCAGUAUUUGCCAGAUCCAAGGUCCAUCAGCUUAGAGACGGUGGUUUGAGCCUGUGUGACUUUCCCACCGCAGUGGCCAGCGUCACCCAGCCUUCACCCAAACACACCAAGAAACCUUUGCUAACAGUGGCUUCUUUGUCAGGAAUGACUUUUAUUUUAGGUGUGCCAACAUUCAGGGAUCUCCCUUUCUGAGCUUGAUCACAGAUAGAAUUCUAAGAAACCUAGAGCAAAGAUUUGUCAAAUUUUUGUUUAGGUUUUCCCUACCUGUUACCAUCAAAUGCACUGCCCAAACUCCCUUUACCUACAGAUGUCCACAUAGCUUUCACCCCUCUGACUGUAAAGGGAUCUUCUAGGGCCCCGGAGCACCAUUGGUGAGGAUGAGAGGUUAGGAGUUAGAACAGAACCUUUGCCAUCUCUACUAUGCUACACUUUGAGCAAAAGGAGGGAAUGUUCUAAGCCUUUUUAUUUCUUUCUCUAUGUCAG